Molecule: ribosomal RNA, 253 nt
Filed under: uncultured bacterium
Lineage: Bacteria
Description: partial 16S ribosomal RNA
Rfam family: Bacterial small subunit ribosomal RNA
Source: RNAcentral
UACGAAGGGGGCUAGCGUUGUUCGGAAUUACUGGGCGUAAAGCGCGCGCAGGCGGUCUUCCAAGUCAGUGGUGAAAGCCCGGAGCUCAACUCCGGAACUGCCAUUGAAACUGUAAGACUUGAGGAUGAGAGAGGUGAGUGGAAUUCCCAGUGUAGAGGUGAAAUUCGUAGAUAUUGGGAAGAACACCGGUGGCGAAGGCGGGUCUCUGGGCAGUAACUGACGCUGAGGAGCGAAAGCGUGGGGAGCGAACAGG